AUUGAACGCUGGCGGCAGGCCUAACACAUGCAAGUCGAACGGUAACAGGAAGCAGCUUGCUGCUUCGCUGACGAGUGGCGGACGGGUGAGUAAUGUCUGGGAAACUGCCUGAUGGAGGGGGAUAACUACUGGAAACGGUAGCUAAUACCGCAUAACGUCGCAAGACCAAAGAGGGGGACCUUCGGGCCUCUUGCCAUCGGAUGUGCCCAGAUGGGAUUAGCUAGUAGGUGGGUAACGGCUCACCUAGGCGACGAUCCCUAGCUGGUCUGAGAGGAUGACCAGCCACACUGGAACUGAGACACGGUCCAGACUCCUACGGGAGCAGCAGUGGGGAAUAUUGCACAAUGGGCGCAAGCCUGAUGCAGCCAUGCCGCGUGUAUGAAGAA
Molecule: ribosomal RNA, 386 nt
Filed under: uncultured Enterobacter sp.
Lineage: Bacteria; Pseudomonadati; Pseudomonadota; Gammaproteobacteria; Enterobacterales; Enterobacteriaceae
Description: bacterial SSU rRNA
Rfam family: Bacterial small subunit ribosomal RNA
Source: RNAcentral